GAAGGGGGCAAGCGUUGUUCGGAUUUACUGGGCGUAAAGGGCGCGUAGGCGGAUCUGCAAGUCAGAGGUGAAAGCCCUGGGCUCAACCCGGGAAUGGCCUUUGAGACUGCAAGUCUUGAGUGCGAGAGAGGGUGGCGGAAUACCCAGUGUAGAGGUGAAAUUCGUAGAUAUUGGGUAGAACACCAGUGGCGAAGGCGGCCACCUGGCUCGCAACUGACGCUGAGGCGCGAAAGCGUGGGGAGCAAACAGGAUUAGAUACCCUGGUAGUCCACGCCGUAAGCGAUGUGUGCUAGCCGUUGGUGACCUUUUUGGUCGUCGGUGGCGCAGCUAACGCGAUAAGCACACCGCCUGGGGAGUACGGCCGCAAGGUUA
This 372-nucleotide ribosomal RNA is filed under the name uncultured bacterium. RNAcentral's name for it is "bacterial SSU rRNA". It matches the Rfam family "Bacterial small subunit ribosomal RNA", at positions 527 to 896 of the family's 1533-position model. The record is from RNAcentral.